RNAcentral lists this transfer RNA (75 nucleotides) under Candidatus Methanofastidiosia archaeon. Its description in RNAcentral is "tRNA-Met". It matches the Rfam family "tRNA". From Rfam's summary of the family: Transfer RNA (tRNA) molecules are approximately 80 nucleotides in length. Their secondary structure includes four short double-helical elements and three loops (D, anti-codon, and T loops). The record is from RNAcentral. RNAcentral also lists the same sequence under 1 other name. Lineage: Archaea; Methanobacteriati; Methanobacteriota; Candidatus Methanofastidiosia.
GCCGGGGUGGCUUAGCCUGGUUAUAGCGCUCGGCUCAUAACCGAGAGGUCGCGGGUUCAGAUCCCGCCCCCGGCA